This is a long non-coding RNA of Trichomycterus rosablanca, 388 nucleotides long. RefSeq lists it as uncharacterized. NCBI's taxonomy places the organism in Eukaryota, Metazoa, Chordata, Actinopteri, Siluriformes, Trichomycteridae. The transcript has 4 exons. The record is from RefSeq and is a predicted model, not a curated record.
AGUGAACUGCGACUCAGGGUGAAAGCGUUGUGUCUUACAGUAUUCUGAGUGGCGGCUCCUGCCAAAUCUCUCAGCGGGGCAAUUGUUGCGAUGAUAGCCAAGAUGACCCGUUCAAUGGGGUUGUGGUGGGUCCAGGCCAUCAGCAACACAGGGGGAAAGAAUAUACACUGGCCAGGGCACCAGGCCUUUAGAAUUGAGUGUGUUGUUGGUGAGUUUGAGCUUGUGGAAGGAGACGGGGUACUGCAUCCACUUUUCUCCCAGAGCCGGGGAGUCUGGGUGGAUAAAGAAUCGGUUGGGCAGGUGAGGAUCAGGCAUGCCACUCACUUCCCAGUGAUCUCUGUUCCACUGCAGGGAAAAAUAUAUUGUUAAAUCCCCAUUAAAUAAAGCC